CGACGAAUCGUGCAGCGCAGCACUAUAAACCAUAGCUCCACAAACACAGAAGCACUUUGCACGUACUGUGGGCAGCAGAUAGCAGAUGUUUGUUUACUGCACAUAACAUUUUCCCACAAGCUACACAGCAGCAGUAAAAUGGAAUCUGACGUGACUCAGGGAUUUCAGGACACUUCAAAAAAUCUUGAAACUGCCCAUGGUAUCUCUUUGAAACCGCUGAACAGGCAAUGCGCUACAUAUUAGGCACACCUGUAGCUCAGUAGCAAAGGCACUGAUAAAAUGUUUGCAAAAAGAACAGCGAUUUUCAACACACACAUCACAAAAUACGACACUCGUCGCUGCAACAACGAUGGCGAUGGCAUGAUGAUGAUGAUGUUGGUGUCACUUCCGCUGGAUUGGCAUAUGUGUUAUUUAACAUUUAACCUCCACCACCCAAUUAUAAUGAACGGCCACGGAAAUUAAAGUAUUACAAAAAAUAAGUACUCAAAAAGCACGAGCUAAAGCAAUGGCAAUGACGUCUGCCCGUCUACCCAAUCACCAUCCAUCAUCCAUCCAUCCAACCAGUUCGAACCAGUUCAGUUUCAACGGUUGAAACUUCAAACUUUCCGGACGCGCAACGGGUAGCAGUUGGGGUCUUCGCGGCUGCAUUCCACUGGUUGUUAUACGAAAAUCUUUCGAAGUUCUAAUCUCCCGCGCGUUUUGUCUUGCAAUUUUUGAGCAUAGCGAGAACGUACGCCGUGCUGUCCAGUGAUAAAAGCUGUUGAGCGCAGCAGAGCUCGCAGAGUACUGUGGUGGACAACGUUUCUUUGUUCUCUGGCUUUCAAGUUUAAGGGGUGCUUGGACUAUCUUGCAUCGGUGGAUAUGAAAAUAGUGGUAACCUACCCUACGAAACAGCUAUUUGCACAUAAGCUUAACAGUUCCCUGUGAGAUGCUGUGAAAGUCAGCAGGGAAGUGCGAUGUAGAAGAAACGACUGCCAGAAGCUUGCUAAAGAACCGCACAACAUGUGUGAGCAGCAGACAAAAUAUUCAUCAAACGAAUUUUUGCACCAAAGUUAUGAGAGCAGCACAGAUGUUGUUUUAGCGUAAUGCAGUGAUGGAAGUGCUGCGCCAAUCAUGGAGUGCUUAGCAGUCGCCUGCUCGACCAGCCACAGUGAGUCAUUGGAGGCAGUGCUGCAGCGCCAACAAUCACUCAUUGGAAGAAAGGAAUGAGGUGGCCAUCAACACCCUGCUGCCAGUUCAACACUCCUCAGUCAAAACACAAGACGCCUGCUUGGCGGCAAAGUCAAUCCAGUUUUAGACAGAGUUUUGUACCGUAGACUUCGUGUGUGGUUUACUGCAAAUAAAUGUUUAUGCUGA
Long non-coding RNA from Ornithodoros turicata, 1356 nucleotides. RefSeq lists it as uncharacterized. Lineage: Eukaryota; Metazoa; Arthropoda; Arachnida; Ixodida; Argasidae. The record is from RefSeq and is a predicted model, not a curated record. The transcript has 5 exons.